GCAGGUAUAGUGUAGCGGUAACACAUUAGCCUUCCAAGCUGAGAUCACGGGUUCGAGUCCCGUUACCUGCUCCA
This 74-nucleotide transfer RNA is filed under the name Clostridium sp. RNAcentral describes it as "tRNA-Gly". It matches the Rfam family "tRNA". From Rfam's summary of the family: Transfer RNA (tRNA) molecules are approximately 80 nucleotides in length. Their secondary structure includes four short double-helical elements and three loops (D, anti-codon, and T loops). The record is from RNAcentral. Lineage: Bacteria; Bacillati; Bacillota; Clostridia; Eubacteriales; Clostridiaceae. RNAcentral also lists the same sequence under 10 other names.